GGGAGGCGAGGCGAGCAGAGGAGAGGAGGAGCGCAGCGAUUUGGGGGAGGGGAGGGGAAGGCCUUUAGUUCUUUGGUCUCUCUGGAGGUGAGGGGGCGCGGUGAGGCUAGGGGAGGCGGGGGCGGGAGAGGCGGCAGAGUAAGGGAGAGGCGAGGGGGGGCCCCUAGCGUCACCGUGGGCGCCGAGGUCGUUCGUUUCAACCUCAUCUCUGGCGGUCGUGCUCGCUAGCGAGAAACUAAAUACAGCGGACGAGAUGACGAGGUACCAAGACUCGAGGGUAGUGGUAGUGGAGGAAGGCGAAAAACAACGGAAGAGGGGGUUCGAGCCGUCUCCCCGCGGUCUUGAGUUCUAAUAGCGAAGUUCUAGAGGGCUAAACCUAAACCCCACUUCAUGAGACCUAAAGACGUAAAUCUGGUCACGGGGCACGUGCGCUUCAUUGUUGUAUGUUCUUAGGGGGUUUAGUUCUAUUCGAACCAAACCAAACCCACCUAAAUUCAAGUCGUGAGGAAGUAAAAGUAACUGUGUAAGGAGGUCAAGUAUUUGUUGGUCGGUCUUUCGUCUAAAGAAAACACUCAGAAGUGUUUUUCUCUUAUUGAGGCAGAAGAGAGGUCAAAAUUAGUCUUCAAACUCUGUUGAGACGAAGACUAAAGCCUCUAACACGCGAGUCCGAGAUUGAUUUUGUCCUCGAACAGGACCCAAAAUUCUAAAGUCAGCCAACAUCAGUGCCAAUUAUUAAGUUAUUAGAGACCUAGAAUGAAUUCUAGUUCCCCGAACAACGUGUUUCUCUACUACAACGGAAGAAGCUCCUUCCAAGCGUAAAGGACGACACUAGGACUGCGGUGGCUAAGAAGACUACUUCUACUAGCCGUACGUUUCUUCCUUUUCUCUUACUGUUACCUUCAUGAUCAAGGUUACUUUUGGAGACCUGGGGAGUUCAGAGCUUUCUGGGAACACGGUACACCGUGUUUCUUUAGUUAACCAUGUCUCUUCUUCGUUGGUUGGUCGUUCAUGGGACCACACGCGGACGCCAGUACCCCAUUCACCCGACGUCUCUAUGCACUAGGGCACUCGUUCUGGGCCUUUACCUAACCGUGUAAAUGGAGGCUCCUCCGGCGACGACGUCGUAUACACCGUCUUGCCUUGGCCCAUGCGUGACUCUACAACCGGUAGUUUAGAGCCAGUGGAGGUAGUCUAGUACUUCGAAACAGGUCGCUUCGAUGACAUAGGACACACAGAAGUAGACACAGCAAGCCGCUGGUCUUUCGUGUUCUCCAUGUGUUCAAUCGCAGUUACCUCUAUCUGGGACUGUGACGACUACUCUCGAAUGACGUGACGAGUGGCCUUGGCGAUCCAUUUCUUUAGGUCCAUCUACGUAAGGAACCGGCCUACUUACAACUACUUUCGAACCACGUGACGAGUAGCUGUGGAUCGCUACUUCUUUAAGGUCACCUACGUAAGACGUCGGUCUACUUACUCGAAGGAGGAUAGUCACUGAUACAAACGUGUUGACUGUUUGAGAGUGACCUACUAUAAAGUUCCGACCGUCUAUACAAAGGACAGUUACUGAAACAGCUGUGUUGUCCACUCGGCGGACCACUGCUGAUGUAGCCCGACCGUCUGUAGUCGGUAGAUGGCUACGGUUACAAGCUCAACCUACGUGUUGAAUUAACCCUUCCAAAGCUGAAACGAAGCUACCUUGCACUUGAUCUCUUUGAAACUCCGGAGUUGUGGUAACUCCAAAAGCAGAAAGACUCUCUACAGUCCCACUCAAACACUAGUCCUCUACACAAGUAGAGGUUAAAAACAGCCUUUAACAUGUCAGAAGGGGGGAUCUAAUUAGACCAACUCGGAAUAUACAUGGCACAUUAUACAUGUACUAGUAGAUUAAACUUAGACGAUACUUCAAGUAUUACCUUCGAGGUAGAAGAUAAAAAGU
Molecule: ribosomal RNA, 1936 nt
Filed under: Triticum aestivum (bread wheat)
Lineage: Eukaryota; Viridiplantae; Streptophyta; Magnoliopsida; Poales; Poaceae
Description: partial small subunit ribosomal RNA
Source: RNAcentral